RNAcentral lists this transfer RNA (74 nucleotides) under Candidatus Moraniibacteriota bacterium. RNAcentral describes it as "Candidatus Moranbacteria bacterium (sediment metagenome) tRNA-Pro". It matches the Rfam family "tRNA". Rfam says of the family: Transfer RNA (tRNA) molecules are approximately 80 nucleotides in length. Their secondary structure includes four short double-helical elements and three loops (D, anti-codon, and T loops). Further hydrogen bonds mediate the characteristic L-shaped molecular structure. tRNAs have two regions of fundamental functional importance: the anti-codon, which is responsible for specific mRNA codon recognition, and the 3' end, to which the tRNAs corresponding amino acid is attached (by aminoacyl-tRNA synthetases). tRNAs cope with the degeneracy of the genetic code in two manners: having more than one tRNA (with a specific anti-codon) for a particular amino acid; and 'wobble' base-pairing, i.e. permitting non-standard base-pairing at the 3rd anti-codon position. Lineage: Bacteria; Candidatus Moraniibacteriota. The record is from RNAcentral.
CGGGCUGUAGUAUACCGGUAGUACGCGUGCAUGGGGUGCAUGUAGACCGAGUUCGAUUCUCGGCAGCCCGACCA